This 515-nucleotide ribosomal RNA is filed under the name uncultured bacterium. Its description in RNAcentral is "partial 16S ribosomal RNA". It matches the Rfam family "Bacterial small subunit ribosomal RNA", at positions 28 to 523 of the family's 1533-position model. The record is from RNAcentral.
GACGAACGCUGGCGGCGUGCCUAAUACAUGCAAGUCGAGCGGACUUUCAAGAAGCUUGCUUUUUGAAAGUUAGCGGCGGACGGGUGAGUAACACGUGGGCAACCUGCCUGUAAGACGGGGAUAACUCCGGGAAACCGGGGCUAAUACCGGAUAAUAUCUUUCUUCGCAUGAAGGAAGGUUGAAAGGCGGCGCAAGCUGCCGCUUGCAGAUGGGCCCGCGGCGCAUUAGCUAGUUGGUGAGGGAACGGCUCACCAAGGCGACGAUGCGUAGCCGACCUGAGAGGGUGAUCGGCCACACUGGGACUGAGACACGGCCCAGACUCCUACGGGAGGCAGCAGUAGGGAAUCUUCCGCAAUGGACGAAAGUCUGACGGAGCAACGCCGCGUGAGCGAAGAAGGUCUUCGGAUCGUAAAGCUCUGUUGUCAGGGAAGAACAAGUACCGUUCGAAUAGGGCGGUACCUUGACGGCACCUGACCAGAAAGCCACGGCUAACUACGUGCCAGCCGCCGCAGUAA